CCUCCCUUAAACCUACUCGGUAUGGCUCUGUCUGCCAGCUUCCUUACCCCCCUCUGUGGGACAGGUCAGAGGGAGAAGGGUCAGCACAGUGUGGAGGGAGGACUGUGAGCAGGAAGGAACACAGGACCCUGACAUUUGAUGAGAUACAGCAGUUUGUGAUCCUAGCAGCAAGGAACGUGAUCCACAUAAGCAUGCAACUCUUCCCCAUCACUGGGUCCCUGCCUUCUGUGAGUGUCUGUGUGUCUGAGCACAGCUUUAGAAUCUGCAAGACACUGAACUGCAGUUCCUCCACCCACAGCAGACUCAGGCUCUACAUUCUCAACCACAGAAGUGGCCACAGCCAAACCUACCUUGAAGGACUCCAUGAGGGUUAAUUUGAUGGUAUGAGUGGGAGUCCCUGGCAUGGUAGUUGUUUUCCACAGUAAAGAUAAAUUAAUUAUAGGUA
Molecule: small RNA, 445 nt
Filed under: Pongo abelii (Sumatran orangutan)
Lineage: Eukaryota; Metazoa; Chordata; Mammalia; Primates; Hominidae
Description: sense intronic
Source: RNAcentral